GACGAACGCUGGCGGCGUGCUUAACACAUGCCAGUCGAACGGAAAGGCCCUGCUUGCAGGGUGCUCGAGUGGCGAACGGGUGAGUAACACGGGGGUGAUCUGCCCCUUAUUUUGGGAUAAGCCUGGGAAACUGGGUCUAAUACUGGAUAGGACCAUGCUGUAGGGGGUGUGGUGGAAAGAUUAGUUUCGGUAAGGGAUGAGCUCGCGGCCUAUCAGCUUGUUGGUGGGGUAAUGGCCUACCAAGGCGUCGACGGGUAGCCGGCCUGAGAGGGUGGACGGCCACAUUGGGACUGAGAUACGGCCCAGACUCCUACGGGAGGCAGCAGUGGGGAAUAUUGCACAAUGGGCGCAAGCCUGAUGCAGCGACGCCGCGUGGGGGAUGACGGCCUUCGGGUUGUAAACUCCUUUCAGCCAUGACGAAGCCCUUGUGGUGACGGUAGUGGUAGAAGAAGCACCGGCUAACUACGUG
This 469-nucleotide ribosomal RNA is filed under the name uncultured bacterium. Its description in RNAcentral is "partial 16S ribosomal RNA". It matches the Rfam family "Bacterial small subunit ribosomal RNA", at positions 28 to 507 of the family's 1533-position model. The record is from RNAcentral.